GUGCACUGUAAAGGAGAACUUCUUGAUAAAGACUUGUGACUGGAGCUGCUCUGUAAGGGAAGAUGAACUGGAGCAAAGGGUGACUGUGGGGCAGUGGCCUCCUGGAUACAGUCCCAGGUCAAGCUCCAGUGGCAGACAAGGAAAGGAAAGUAAUUUCUGAUCUCCCCUAAGGAUGUGUAUCUUCCCAUUGCUACUUGACUGCUCUGGAGAAACAUACCAUCAACUUGUAGUGGACACGGCUACCUCCAAC
This is a long non-coding RNA of Melospiza melodia melodia, 250 nucleotides long. RefSeq lists it as uncharacterized. The transcript is spliced from 3 exons. The record is from RefSeq and is a predicted model, not a curated record. NCBI's taxonomy places the organism in Eukaryota, Metazoa, Chordata, Aves, Passeriformes, Passerellidae.